RNAcentral lists this ribosomal RNA (237 nucleotides) under uncultured bacterium. RNAcentral describes it as "partial 16S ribosomal RNA". It matches the Rfam family "Bacterial small subunit ribosomal RNA", at positions 524 to 757 of the family's 1533-position model. The record is from RNAcentral.
UACGAAGGGGGCUAGCGUUGCUCGGAAUCACUGGGCGUAAAGGGUGCGUAGGCGGGUCUUUUAAGUCAGGGGUGAAAUCCUGGAGCUCAACUCCAGAACUGCCUUUGAUACUGAGGAUCUUGAGUUCGGGAGAGGUGAGUGGAACUGCGAGUGUAGAGGUGAAAUUCGUAGAUUAUUCGCAAGAACACCAGUGGCGAAGGCGGACUCACUGGCCCGAUACUGACGCUGAGGCACGAA